GGAAACCGUACAUUCCAUCCAUAUUAAAAGUCGUUUCUGCUCCCUCUAGAAUGAAGAAAAGAAAAGAAAAGGAAACAAACUAACAAGUGAUUCGAUGGAGAGCUGAAGUUUAUGUAAGGAGAGAAGCUUUUUUUCUUUUAAUUUAUUUUUCUAACAUCUAAAAAUUUAGAGCAAUAGGAAGAAGAUGUGAGGUGGUGUGGCUUUUGCUGGAAUUCAAGGAGCAGAGAGGAACUGAAAGUGGUGUGAUGG
This 249-nucleotide unclassified non-coding RNA is filed under the name Hevea brasiliensis (rubber tree). The record is from RNAcentral. Lineage: Eukaryota; Viridiplantae; Streptophyta; Magnoliopsida; Malpighiales; Euphorbiaceae.